This is a long non-coding RNA of Colias croceus (clouded yellow), 687 nucleotides long. RefSeq lists it as uncharacterized. The record is from RefSeq and is a predicted model, not a curated record. The transcript is spliced from 3 exons. Lineage: Eukaryota; Metazoa; Arthropoda; Insecta; Lepidoptera; Pieridae.
CGAGCCGCGCACACCGAUACAUACACACGCAGAUUUGACGGCGGACUUGUCGCCAGGCUCUACAAAUCCAGCGGAUGGGCGCGCUUGUGAAUGGUGGCCAUUAGAAUGCAGACUCGUGAUGUAAAAAAUCGGUUUACCACAUUAAGUUACUAUGUACUACGUACCUCAAUGGUUUACCAUGUGUUGUUAAAAGUAUCUACUUACAUAUUUAAACGCGAACAUGAUAAAAUUAUAUUUACGUAAUAACAACCAAAUAUAUAAUUGUAUUUGGCUAUCACAGGAAGAAAUUAGUUUUCCUGUAGUGUAUAUAAUAAACUGUGCGGGUAUUGGUCCUUCAUUAUGUGCGGCAGACUCGCCUAAUUAAGCAUUAAAUUAAAAUUAUUUUAAAAACAAUACCAUGAAAAUUAUUCAUAUAUUAGUGAUAACGCUUCUUUUCUGUGUAAGUUUAUAUGAAGCAAAUCCCAAACCAAAACCGUUCUGGGCCUCGGAAAACGAUGACAAGGAUGGUUUUUUAAAGAAGGUUUUCCAAAUGAUUUUCGGAAACUUAAAUGGCUAUGUGAACAUAGGAAAUGGACAAGAAAACACUAACACGAUAUAUAUUGAAACAGGAAAUAAUAUUUAAGUAAAAUUUUAAGUAUUAGUUUUUAUAUUAUUAAAAUAUAUUCAUUAAAUACAUUGCAUACUAAA